CGCGGGGUGGAGCAGCGGCCCGGUAGCUCGUCGGGCUCAUAACCCGAAGGCCGCAGGUUCAAAUCCUGCCCCCGCAACCA
This 80-nucleotide transfer RNA is filed under the name Paenibacillus sp. P25. RNAcentral describes it as "tRNA-Met". It matches the Rfam family "tRNA". Rfam says of the family: Transfer RNA (tRNA) molecules are approximately 80 nucleotides in length. Their secondary structure includes four short double-helical elements and three loops (D, anti-codon, and T loops). The record is from RNAcentral. Lineage: Bacteria; Bacillati; Bacillota; Bacilli; Caryophanales; Paenibacillaceae.